GGGGAAUUUUCCGCAAUGGGGGCAACCCUGACGGAGCAACGCCGCGUGGGGGAGGAAUGUCUGUGGAUUGUAAACCCCUUUUCUCAGGGAAGAAGUUCUGACGGUACCUGAGGAAUCAGCAUCGGCUAACUCCGUGCCAGCAGCCGCGGUAAGACGGAGGAUGCAAGCGUUAUCCGGAAUUAUUGGGCGUAAAGCGUCCGUAGGCGGUUGAUCAAGUCUGCCGUUAAAGACUACAGCUUAACUGUGGGUCGGCGGUGGAAACUGAUGAACUGGAGUGCGGUAGGGGUAGAGGGAAUUCCCAGUGUAGCGGUGAAAUGCGUAGAUAUUGGGAAGAACACCAGUGGCGAAGGCGCUCUACUGGGCCGUAACUGACGCUGAGGGACGAAAGCUAGGGGAGCGAAAGGGAUUAGAUACCCCUGUAGUCCUAGCUGUAAACGAUGGAUACUAGGUGUUGCGCGUAUCGACCCGUGCAGUACCGUAGCCAACGCGAUAAGUAUCCCGCCUGGGGAGUACGCACGCAAGUGUGAAACUCAAAGGAAUUGACGGGGGCCCGCACAAGCGGUGGAGUAUGUGGUUUAAUUCGAUGCAACGCGAAGAACCUUACCAGGGCUUGACAUCCCGCGAAUUCCUGUGAGAGCAGGAAGUGCCUUCGGGAGCGCGGAGACAGGUGGUGCAUGGCUGUCGUCAGCUCGUGUCGUGAGAUGUUGGGUUAAGUCCCGCAACGAGCGCAACCCACGUCCUUAGUUGCCAUCAUUAAGUUGGGCACUCUAGGGAGACUGCCGGGGACAACUCGGAGGAAGGUGUGGAUGACGUCAAGUCAUCAUGCCCCUUACGUUCUGGGCUACACACGUACUACAAUGCUUCGGACAAAGGGCAGCGAGCGUGCGAGCGUGAGCUAAUCCCAUAAACCGAGGCACAGUUCAGAUUGCAGGCUGCAACUCGCCUGCAUGAAGGAGGAGUCGCUAGUAAUCGCAGGUCAGCAUACUGCGGUGAAUACGUUCCCGGGCCUCGUACACACCGCCCGUCACACCAUGGGAGUUGGCCACGCCCGAAGUCGUUACUCUAACCAUUUAUGGAGGAGGGCGCCGAAGGUGGGGCUGAUGACUGGGGUGAAGUCGUAACAAGGUAGCCGUACCGGAAGGUGUGGCUGGAUCACCUCCUUA
This 1163-nucleotide ribosomal RNA is filed under the name Leptolyngbya sp. HBC4. RNAcentral describes it as "bacterial SSU rRNA". It matches the Rfam family "Bacterial small subunit ribosomal RNA", at positions 356 to 1533 of the family's 1533-position model. Lineage: Bacteria; Bacillati; Cyanobacteriota; Cyanophyceae; Leptolyngbyales; Leptolyngbyaceae. The record is from RNAcentral.